AGUCAAUAGAUACCCGGGUAGUCCCAGCGGUAAACGGUGCGCGUUUGGUGUGAGGUGGUUCGACCCUCCUCGCGCCGGAGCUAAACGCGUUAAAAACGCGCCGCCUGGGAAGUACGAUCGCAAGACUAAAACUCAAAGAAAUUGACGGGGCCCGCACAAGCGGUGGAGUAUGUGGCUUAAUUCGAUGCAACGCGAAGAACCUUACCUGGGUUUGACAUGCAUCUCUAAGGAGGUGAAAGCUUCCGAGGGUAGCAAUACCCGAUUUGCACAGGUGCUGCAUGGCUGUCGUCAGCUCGUGUCGUGAGAUGUUGGGUUAAGUCCCGCAACGAGCGCAACCCUUGUAUGCUGUUGCUAUGAUUACUCAUAGCUCUCUGCGUAGACUGCCCCGUGAAACGGGGUAGGAAGGUGGGAUGACGUCAAGUCAGCAUGGCCCUUACACCCAGGGCUGCACA
RNAcentral lists this ribosomal RNA (452 nucleotides) under uncultured bacterium. RNAcentral describes it as "bacterial SSU rRNA". It matches the Rfam family "Bacterial small subunit ribosomal RNA", at positions 775 to 1220 of the family's 1533-position model. The record is from RNAcentral.